GGAGAGGGAAGCACUACAAUGAAACACAGUCGGGUUUAAGAAAUAAUAGUUCAUACAAUCAAAUUUGAGGCCUGUCGUCCAUCUUCAGAGGUUUAUUCGCGAACAAUUUUAAACGUUCACUUCUUAUAGGGAAAAGGUGGCUCAUAAGUCAUAACUGGAAAGCAUUGACAAGACCCUCUUUCUGAUAUCUCCAAUUUUGAUCCACACUCAAGAACGAAUACAGAGAUGUGCUUAUCAUUGUAAUUUGGGAAAUGUACUAAAACCAUCCACAGCCGCCGCAAAUGCCGUUCGGAUCUCGCUGCAGCCGCCGCUAUCCUCCGUCUAUUCUGACUUCAAGGCCGCCCCAACUCCGCACGCUCCGCCACCUCAUCCUCGUCAUCUCCGCUGUCCCCGACGACCCAUCGCCCCACGUUCAACAAAAAUCGGUCGCCCUAGACGACCCGCACCCGCUGGACAUCGCCGCCUCCACCGCCGGCGUCCGGAGCCACCACCCCGUCGGCGCCCUACUUCCCUGUGAGCGCCAACCUCUCUAUUUACAUCGGAGUGAUGGAUAUUAUCAAGUUAUUUUCUGAGAGCGUUACAAUCUUCAUCAAGUAAUAUCAG
Molecule: long non-coding RNA, 603 nt
Organism: Triticum dicoccoides
Lineage: Eukaryota; Viridiplantae; Streptophyta; Magnoliopsida; Poales; Poaceae
Exons: 5
Source: RefSeq, a predicted model, not a curated record